AACAGAUCGGAGUGGUGCUGCACCAAAAGGAGGCCAGUCUUCAGGAGGAGCUUCUGGUGGCACUUCUCAGGAGGGUGAUUUUGAAGCAAAAGUAGCAAAGCUGGUGGAGUUAGGUUUUGGAAGAGAA
Molecule: long non-coding RNA, 127 nt
Organism: Neltuma alba
Lineage: Eukaryota; Viridiplantae; Streptophyta; Magnoliopsida; Fabales; Fabaceae
Exons: 3
Source: RefSeq, a predicted model, not a curated record